RNAcentral lists this long non-coding RNA (1149 nucleotides) under Oryctolagus cuniculus (rabbit). RNAcentral describes it as "lncRNA (ENSOCUG00000034749.1)". The record is from RNAcentral. Lineage: Eukaryota; Metazoa; Chordata; Mammalia; Lagomorpha; Leporidae.
AUGACUUCAGGCCUGGUGGGGAGGGGUCCUUUUUUGGAGGUGCCUGGCCCAUGGUCCCCCCUCCAAGGGCAGUCAGCUGUGUUUCCUAGCCUUGGGCAGCCCUGUGGCUGUCCCCAGGGAUCGGGCCUGUCCCUGCCUUUAUCUUCUGGGGCCCCGGCGUACAGUCCCAGGCUCCCUUCUCACAAAUCAAUCUGCCUCCCCCAGGAAGACCCCUGGGUCUGUCCCAUCCCGGCUGGAUUCCUCCUUCUUUGCGCCCCUCCCCUACGCGGAGUCCUGCCCUCCUCCCUUCCCUGCCUGGGAGGUGCCAGGGGGCCGGCCCCGCAGGGUGCCUUUUCCUUCUCCCCUCCGGGCUCGGUUUCCCCACCUGCGCGUCCUGGCACAGGUGGGCCCCAGGCUCUCCCCUCGUACACCUCUGGGGCUCUUGUCCCCUUCCUUCCCUGCAUUGCUCCGUCUCCUGUGCCUCCCAGCAGUGUCCUUUUUGGGGGGCCCCGGGGGCUGUGGCGAGGGGGGCAUUCCCGAGGCGAGCCCUUGUGGAGGCCGUGGGCCGCCUGCCAGGGAGGAUCCUCUGGGUGGUCUCGGCCGGGUGGGCCCGGAUGUAGCAGGCCCGGCGAGGAGCAGCACUGCCAACCAAUCGCUCCUUUACAAGCGUACUGGGAGGGAUGUGCAAGGGCCCGUGGGUGGUGUUCACGUAUGGGGGGGGGAUUUCUUUUUAAGAGACAAGGUGGGUGGAAUGGGGGAAGCCAGCUGGCUGUGGGCUCUAUUUCCACUGACAAGGCUUUACCCUGUAGGUGUGAGGAAUUCCAAUUAAACAUGCAGCCUAUUUGUCUGUGUGUGGGAAGGGUUUGCCGGCAGGGAGGGGGCCGAGGAGCGUCUCCACGGCACACCAGCAAACCAGAAAUUAGCUCCGUUCAUCACAGGCGCACGGGGCCUCCCUUAGCCCUCCUGUGCACUCACAGGAGUCGCGAGGAGGAGACAGACAGAGGAAGCGAGAGUGAGCGAGCGAGAGAGAGAGGUUGGGGAGGCGGGUUCCCCAGGCUGGAAGGGCUUCCGGAAUCUCUGAGUGGGCAGGAAGGAUUGCCCGACUCCUUGGUUCCUGGGGGGGUUUCCCCAUCUGGGGGCGCCGGCUGUGAGCUCCUCGGGGCCACCUGA